UACGUAGGGGGCUAGCGUUGUUCGGAAUUACUGGGCGUAAAGCGUAUGCAGGCGGACUUUUAAGUCGGGGGUGAAAUCCCGAGGCUCAACCUCGGAACUGCCUUCGAUACUGGAAGUCUUGAGUCCGGGAGAGGUGAGUGGAACUCCGAGUGUAGAGGUGAAAUUCGUAGAUAUUCGGAAGAACACCAGUGGCGAAGGCGGCUCACUGGCCCGAUACUGACGCUGAGGCACGAAAGCGUGGGGAGCAAACAGG
RNAcentral lists this ribosomal RNA (253 nucleotides) under uncultured bacterium. RNAcentral describes it as "partial 16S ribosomal RNA". It matches the Rfam family "Bacterial small subunit ribosomal RNA", at positions 524 to 776 of the family's 1533-position model. The record is from RNAcentral.